AAGCCACACACGGCCAGUCCCGAAACAUGAUAUAAGGCCAUUUAAGGUCGAAACAUAAAGACAUAAAAAACAAAUCUCUCGCAAGAGAUCUAACCCAAGUCAUCCUCAGAACUCACGCCCCCUCUUCACCCGUCGCCUCGUCCGAGCCCGGAGCCGCGUCGCCUCCGUUUUCUCCAACCAUCGGGUGUUUCUUCUCUGGGUCUUCUGAACACGUCUAACCAGGAUGAGAUCGAAAUCUCCAUCCACGGCCG
RNAcentral lists this long non-coding RNA (251 nucleotides) under Brassica rapa (field mustard). RNAcentral's name for it is "long non-coding RNA (BRAP_LNC001104)". The record is from RNAcentral. Lineage: Eukaryota; Viridiplantae; Streptophyta; Magnoliopsida; Brassicales; Brassicaceae.